This 701-nucleotide long non-coding RNA is filed under the name Monodelphis domestica (gray short-tailed opossum). Its description in RNAcentral is "lncRNA (ENSMODG00000034673.2)". The record is from RNAcentral. Lineage: Eukaryota; Metazoa; Chordata; Mammalia; Didelphimorphia; Didelphidae.
ACAGAAUCAGUGAGUGCUGGAGAUGGCUCCGAGGGCAGCACUUUAUCUACUAAGGCAAAACGCACCUGAUGGAGGAAAGAGAGGAGUCCAGUAGAGAAGAAGGAAACUAAUGACUUCAUCCAGAGGAGAUCUAAUCCUCAUCUGUCCAAAUGCUCUUCUGCCGGGAACAUCCUUGGGAGCUGUUCCUGAUGUAGUCAUUGAAGAAUGGAGUCAAGAAGAAAGGCUGAUUUUGAAAGAGAUCUUUUAUUUAGAGUAAAUCUUAUCUGCUACAUCGAAAGGGUGCCAGGAGGUGGCAGCGUGAUCUCCACCUUGCCAGGGAGUUGGACCCAUGGCAACCUUGAAGCCAGGAUUCAAGCAGGGAUGCUGCAAGCCAGCUGGUCCAGAUAUGGAAGCCUGAGAAAGUCACGGUUCCUUGGACUCAAGUCUGAGAGAAGUUUUGGACUCCGAGCUGGGACUGUCCUCUAUGGAACUGAGCUAAACUAUGAGCCUAAUCCCAUUCUCCACCCCAGAGAUCGAAGGGAUGCAAGACAGAGGAGAAUUAUACUUCCCCCAUGUUGGGGAAGUUCUUAUGUUUGUCAUUACAUCUUCUGAAGUAAUUUCUGAAGAUAUUUCUUUGUAAAAACUAAUCUGUUAAUGGAAAAUGGAAACCCUACAGGUGAGGGAACACUAUUAAUAGGGGCUAGAGCCAUUUGCAGAGAGCC